GUGGAUUAGUGGCGAACGGGUGAGUAACACGUGGGCAAUCUGCCCUGCACUCUGGGACAAGCCCUGGAAACGGGGUCUAAUACCGGAUGAUACUUUUCCCUGCAUGGGGAAGGGUUGAAAGCUCCGGCGGUGCAGGAUGAGCCCGCGGCCUAUCAGCUUGUUGGUGGGGUGAUGGCCUACCAAGGCGACGACGGGUAGCCGGCCUGAGAGGGCGACCGGCCACACUGGGACUGAGACACGGCCCAGACUCCUACGGGAGGCAGCAGUGGGGAAUAUUGCACAAUGGGCGAAAGCCUGAUGCAGCGACGCCGCGUGAGGGAUGACGGCCUUCGGGUUGUAAACCUCUUUCAGCAGGGAAGAAGCGAAAGUGACGGUACCUGCAGAAGAAGCGCCGGCUAACUACGUGCCAGCAGCCGCGGUAAUACGUAGGGCGCAAGCGUUGUCCGGAAUUAUUGGGCGUAAAGAGCUCGUAGGCGGUUUGUCACGUCGGUUGUGAAAGCCCGGGGCUUAACUCCGGGUCUGCAGUCGAUACGGGCAGACUAGAGUGUGGUAGGGGAGAUCGGAAUUCCUGGUGUAGCGGUGAAAUGCGCAGAUAUCAGGAGGAACACCGGUGGCGAAGGCGGAUCUCUGGGCCAUUACUGACGCUGAGGAGCGAAAGCGUGGGGAGCGAACAGGAUUAGAUACCCUGGUAGUCCACGCCGUAAACGUUGGGGAACUAGGUGUUGGCGACAUUCCACGUCGUCCGGUGC
RNAcentral lists this ribosomal RNA (749 nucleotides) under Streptomyces sp. 517(2010). Its description in RNAcentral is "bacterial SSU rRNA". It matches the Rfam family "Bacterial small subunit ribosomal RNA", at positions 87 to 846 of the family's 1533-position model. The record is from RNAcentral. Lineage: Bacteria; Bacillati; Actinomycetota; Actinomycetes; Kitasatosporales; Streptomycetaceae.